UACAGAGGGUGCGAGCGUUAAUCGGAAUUACUGGGCGUAAAGCGUGCGUAGACGGUUAUUUAAGUCGGAUGUGAAAGCCCCGGGCUCAACCUGGGAAUUGCAUUCGAUACUGGAUAGCUAGAGUUCGGCAGAGGGAAGCGGAAUUUCUGGUGUAGCGGUGAAAUGCGUAGAUAUCAGAAGGAACAUCAGUGGCGAAAGCGGCUUCCUGGACCAGAACUGACGAUCAGGCUCGAAAGCGUGGGGAGCAAACAGG
This 253-nucleotide ribosomal RNA is filed under the name uncultured bacterium. Its description in RNAcentral is "partial 16S ribosomal RNA". It matches the Rfam family "Bacterial small subunit ribosomal RNA", at positions 524 to 776 of the family's 1533-position model. The record is from RNAcentral.